Molecule: ribosomal RNA, 433 nt
Filed under: uncultured bacterium
Lineage: Bacteria
Description: partial 16S ribosomal RNA
Rfam family: Bacterial small subunit ribosomal RNA
Source: RNAcentral
AACGAACGCUGGCGGCAUGCCUAACACAUGCAAGUCGAACGAGACCUUCGGGUCUAGUGGCGCACGGGUGCGUAACGCGUGGGAACCUGCCCUUAGGUUCGGAAUAACUCCCCGAAAGGGGUGCUAAUACCGGAUAAUGUCUUCGGACCAAAGAUUUAUCGCCUUUGGAUGGGCCCGCGUUGGAUUAGCUAGUUGGUAGGGUAAAAGCCUACCAAGGCGACGAUCCAUAGCUGGUCUGAGAGGAUGAUCAGCCACACUGGGACCGAGACACGGCCCAGACCCCUACGGGAGGCAGCAGUGGGGAAUAUUGGACAAUGGGCGAAAGCCUGAUCCAGCAAUGCUGCGUGAGUGAUGAAGGCCUUAGGGUUGUAAAGCUCUUUUACCCGGGAUGAUAAUGACAGUACCGGGAGAAUAAGCUCCGGCUAACUCCGUG